ACAACCACACUAAAAACACAUUUUCCUCAAAUCAGGUAGGACUACCCGCUGAACUUAAGCAUAUCAAUAAGCGGAGGAAAAGAAACCAACAGGGAUUGCCUCAGUAACGGCGAGUGAAGCGGCAAAAGCUCAAAUUUGGAAUCUCAGUCUUUCAGGCUGCGAGUUGUAAUUUGAAGACGUAUUUUGAAGUAAGCACAUGUCGAAGUUCCUUGGAACAGGACGUCACAGAGGGUGAGAAUCCCGUGCGAUGUGUUCACUGCUUCAUGUAAAAUGCAGUCGAAGAGUCGAGUUGUUUGGGAAUGCAGCUCUAAGUGGGUGGUAAAUUCCAUCUAAAGCUAAAUAUUGGCGAGAGACCGAUAGCGAACAAGUACAGUGAUGGAAAGAUGAAAAGAACUUUGAAAAGAGAGUGAAAAAGUACGUGAAAUUGUUGAAAGGGAAGGGCUUGAGAUCAGACUCGGGCAACCGGGCCAGCAUGGGGUGGGGGAGUAGGAUAACCCUGCAGGAAAGUGGCUUCGCUUCGGUGGAGUGUUAUAGCCUGUAGCUAUACUGCUACCCUCGCCCGAGGACUGCGGAAACAAGGAUGCUGGCAUAAUGAUCUUAAGCCGCCCGUCUUGAAACACGGACCAAGGAGUCUAACGUCUAUGCGAGUGUAUGGG
RNAcentral lists this ribosomal RNA (656 nucleotides) under Hyphopichia burtonii. RNAcentral describes it as "LSU rRNA". It matches the Rfam family "Eukaryotic large subunit ribosomal RNA", at positions 1 to 698 of the family's 3401-position model. Lineage: Eukaryota; Fungi; Ascomycota; Pichiomycetes; Serinales; Debaryomycetaceae. The record is from RNAcentral.